RNAcentral lists this ribosomal RNA (515 nucleotides) under uncultured bacterium. RNAcentral's name for it is "partial 16S ribosomal RNA". It matches the Rfam family "Bacterial small subunit ribosomal RNA", at positions 28 to 523 of the family's 1533-position model. The record is from RNAcentral.
GACGAACGCUGGCGGCGUGCCUAAUACAUGCAAGUCGAGCGGAUGACGGAGGAGCUUGCUCCUCCUGAUUCAGCGGCGGACGGGUGAGUAACACGUGGGCAACCUGCCCUGUAGAUUGGGAUAACUCCGGGAAACCGGGGCUAAUACCGAAUAAUCCUUCGGACCUCAUGGUCCGAUGUUGAAAGACGGCAUCUCGCUGUCACUACAGGAUGGGCCCGCGGCGCAUUAGCUAGUUGGUGAGGUAACGGCUCACCAAGGCCACGAUGCGUAGCCGACCCGAGAGGGUGAUCGGCCACACUGGGACUGAGACACGGCCCAGACUCCUACGGGAGGCAGCAGUAGGGAAUCUUCCACAAUGGACGAAAGUCUGAUGGAGCAACGCCGCGUGAGUGAAGAAGGUUCUCGGAUCGUAAAACUCUGUUGUGAGGGAAGAACAAGUACCGGAGUAACUGCCGGUGCCUUGACGGUACCUCAUUAGAAAGCCACGGCUAACUACGUGCCAGCAGCCGCCGUAA